RNAcentral lists this ribosomal RNA (363 nucleotides) under uncultured bacterium. RNAcentral's name for it is "bacterial SSU rRNA". It matches the Rfam family "Bacterial small subunit ribosomal RNA", at positions 29 to 419 of the family's 1533-position model. The record is from RNAcentral.
AGCGAACGCUGGCGGCAUGCUUAACACAUGCAAGUCUCACGGGCAGCAAUGUCAGUGACGGACGGGUGAGUAGCGCGUAGGUAUCUAUCUCCGGGUGGGGGAUAACCGUGGGAAACUACGGCUAAUACCGCAUGAUGACCGAGGUCCAAAGGCGCAAGUCGCCUGGAGAGGAGCCUGCGUACGAUUAGCUUGUUGGUGGGGUAAAGGCCUACCAAGGCGACGAUCGUUAGCUGGUCUGAGAGGAUGAUCAGCCACAUUGGGACUGAGACACGGCCCAAACUCCUACGGGAGGCAGCAGUGGGGAAUAUUGGACAAUGGGCGAAAGCCUGAUCCAGCAAUGCCGCGUGUGUGAAGAAGGUCUUC